UGGGGAAUCUUGCGCAAUGCGCGAAAGCGUGACGCAGCAACGCCGCGUGGGGGAAGAAGGCCUUCGGGUUGUAAACCCCUUUCAGGAGGGACGAAGGUACGACGGUGAAUAGCCGCUCGUACUGACGGUACCUCCACAAGAAGCCCCGGCUAACUACGUGCCAGCAGCCGCGGUAAUACGUAGGGGGCAAGCGUUGUCCGGAAUCAUUGGGCGUAAAGCGCGCGUAGGCGGCCCGGUAAGUCCGCUCUGAAAGUCCAGGGCUCAACCCUGGAAAGCGGGUGGAUACUGCCGGGCUAGAAUCCGGAAGAGGCGAGUGGAAUUCCUGGUGUAGCGGUGGAAUGCGCAGAUAUCAGGAGGAACACCAAUAGCGAAGGCAGCUCGCUGGGACGGUAUUGACGCUGAGGCGCGAAAGCGUGGGGAGCAAACAGGAUUAGAUACCCUGGUAGUCCACGCCGUAAACGAUGGGCACUAGGUGUGGGAGGUGUCGACUCCUUCCGCGCCGACGCUAACGCAA
Molecule: ribosomal RNA, 514 nt
Filed under: uncultured Actinomycetes bacterium
Lineage: Bacteria; Bacillati; Actinomycetota; Actinomycetes
Description: bacterial SSU rRNA
Rfam family: Bacterial small subunit ribosomal RNA
Source: RNAcentral